CUCUCUUUUUCUUCUUCUUCUUCUUCUACGUACCUACUAUUUUUCUUCUUCUUCUUCUACGUACAUACAGAGUUCACUGUGAAUUCCGAUGAUGAUGAUGAUGAUCCAUCCAUGUAGAGAGAGAGAGAGACAUAUUGAAAUCAAAGCAAACGAGGCGAUAUGAUGAUUGGUGAUCCGUAAGGCCUAAAUCAAUAUCGAUUCAUUGAAUCUAGUCACCAGAGACUUAGGGCGAAUUUCAAAACUCAAAAGUGAAAGAGAGGAAUCGAGCGAGGUAUUUCGUAAUAAUCUUCUUGAUUUGAAUAUGAAACCUAGACUUUGUUAUAUACUCGUUGUGGAUAGAGAUGAUUUUUGUGAAUGGUUUAAUUAGAGAUGAUGAUGUUUAGUGUCUGAGAAUGAUGAAUACCUAAUUGUACAAAUCAAACCCCAUACUUUGUUGUGGAUAAGACUAGGAAGUUGUUUGUUUGGAUUCACACAGAUAGCCUCGUAGAGAAGUUGCAACCAUGUCUGUGUAGCAUCUCGUCUUAUUGCUAAACAACUAACGAUUAGGGAAAAAGAAGUUGGUUACAACGUUCCCAGAACCGUGCUUAAAUGGUGUUGUGUCUACAUACGUCAUUGAACCACGAAGAAUUCGUGUUGAGUCAUUGUUGGUAAGGCAGAGAAGAGUUGUUACAGGCUUUAUACAGAGGAGUAAGCAAGUAAUGACUUGCAGCCCUUGGAUUCACCACAUAUGGCAAAGAUGCUCAUAGUGACUCCUCAAUUCAAUUGCUCAAACGAGAUUAUCUCUGUUUCAUCCCUUGUCUCAGUAUUAGAGUUAGGUGUUAUCCCCAGCAUUCUCUAGUCUGGGUUCUGCAUACCCUUGGUUAGGGGUAUAUCCUAAGUAAGUGUUGAUGCAGAUAAAUACUAGUUGCAGUUUCUCAGUUAUUCUCUCUCAUGUGGCAAAUGGUAUCAGUAUCAUCGCCUCUAUGCAUCUGCUGACGACCUAUUCCAUUGACCUCCUUUGUUAUAAACACCAAUUCUUUCUCUGCUUUAUUCGGCUUAGAGAGGCUCAAAAAGCAGCAGAUGCUAGGUUUGGACACAUUGAUGGUUGUCUACCAUGCUUUUAAGCAAAACAUCGAUGAAGAUCCCAAUUGGUGCUGUGAAAACUUGCAUCAAAAUCUGCAGGCAAUGUUAGACGGUAGCUAGCCCGGAUAAUGUCAAGAUUCAACUUGAAGAGGUGCAGCACUCAUUUUAACUACUAUAUGAAUGUAAGCAAGACCUCACUUAGAGCGCAAUGGCCAUUAUUUGACAGCCAAAGACAACCAAGUGGUUCAUUUGCAUCCAUCAAAUUUCUUGGAUCACAAACCUUGGCGGGUAAGUUCUUUUCAUAUCUCCUCAUGAAGCUUUGUCCUCGAGAAGCUUUGUAAGAAGAGAGAAAGGAACAAUCAUAUCCUCAUAUGUCAACGUUUAAAUCUACUUGGACAAGAGAAGCAAUCCGUAAGAGGAGGAUUAAAUGGUGAAUUGAGGUAGCUGCUCCCUCUCAUUUGUGGUUUUAAAUAUCAGAACAACCACCAAGUCGCCUCAGGAUGCUCAAGAGUCAAGACAUCACAGCCUUGUAGUUGCAAUCUACAUAGAAACUAACCAUGUGUUCGAUGAAGGCAAAAACAUACUGUCAAAUUGCAGAUAUCGUCACCCACCAUAAUCAAAUUUCUAGCUUACAGUCCAAGAGUAACUACACAAUAUAUUGUUCGCAUCUUGAAGGGGGACAAUUGGAGUAAAUAGUUCACUGUUACAUUUAUUUAAUCUGGUUAACUUAGUAUACUUGUAUUCAUCAACUUGUAAAGAUUUACAUCUUUAUAUUUUUCAUAUAUCUGAUUUGUAAUAUACACCUUCUAACAUGGGUUUUUUUUUAUUAUUGUUA
This is a long non-coding RNA of Capsella rubella, 1897 nucleotides long. RefSeq lists it as uncharacterized. Lineage: Eukaryota; Viridiplantae; Streptophyta; Magnoliopsida; Brassicales; Brassicaceae. The transcript has 8 exons. The record is from RefSeq and is a predicted model, not a curated record.